CCAAAAGGCUAUUUAAAGGCUUUUGUUCAGAUGCAGGGCUGAAAGGUCUAAAAAGGGGGCUAAGAUACCUAAUAUUAGUGUUCCAUAUCCUUCUGACGGCCUAUUACGACCCGGCUGUGCUGAUAUGGUUACACCCAGUGGCCUUCAGCAGCGGUAGUGAGAUGACGGUUGAGCUACAAUAUGCUAAACAUAUUAUAUUGUGAAGAUGGAAGGGGAAAAUAAAGGCAUGCAGUUUCAGAUCCAUAAAUCUGGACUUCCCUGCAGAGAGAGAUGAAACUGCCUCCUAAGGAGCUGGCAUGGGCAGACAGUGGGAGCCUCAUAUCUCAUAUCAGCAGCACAUGGACAUCCUGCAGUUUGAGUUAGAGAUGGACAACCUUACCGCUCUCUUAGUCGCUCUCUAUGUUUAUGUUUAACUUCCAG
Long non-coding RNA from Oreochromis aureus, 420 nucleotides. Lineage: Eukaryota; Metazoa; Chordata; Actinopteri; Cichliformes; Cichlidae. The record is from Ensembl.